This 427-nucleotide ribosomal RNA is filed under the name uncultured bacterium. RNAcentral's name for it is "bacterial SSU rRNA". It matches the Rfam family "Bacterial small subunit ribosomal RNA", at positions 355 to 774 of the family's 1533-position model. The record is from RNAcentral.
UGGGGAAUUUUGGACAAUGGGCGCAAGCCUGAUCCAGCCAUGCCGCGUGAGUGAAGAAGGCCUUCGGGUUGUAAAGCUCUUUCGGUGGGGAAGAAAUGGUUUCGGUUAAUACCCGGAACUGAUGACGGUACCCGCAUAAGAAGCACCGGCUAACUACGUGCCAGCAGCCGCGGUAAUACGUAGGGUGCGAGCGUUAAUCGGAUUUACUGGGCGUAAAGCGUGCGCAGGCGGUUGUAUAAGUCAGAUGUGAAAUCCCCGGGCUCAACCUGGGAACUGCAUUUGAGACUGUACGGCUAGAGUGUGGCAGAGGGGGGUAGAAUUCCACGUGUAGCAGUGAACUGCGUAGAGAUGUGGAGGAAUACCGAUUGCGAAGGCAGCCCCCUGGGCCAAUACUGGCGCUCAUGCACGAAAGCGUGGGGAGCAAACA